AACCACACAAAUACAUAAAACAAGCAACAAACACAUCAAACAACAAUCCAAAAAUAUAGUGUCCAGUCCGAAUUAUACAGUCCCAAAGAUAAGAAAAUACGAAAAUAUAAAACUUAUUCUAGACUAAUCCUAAACUAUGCUCCAAUGCUUACCCAAAGCCUCGGGCCUUCAUCACAAACGUUUUCUGCCAGCAUAAUACGUUGGGGCAUCCCCCGGUGAAUAAAUAUAAUGUGUCUCGGGGCAUUCCCCGGCUAAAUGAAUACAUUUUUCAUAUGCAAAAAAAAUAAACCAUUCCACAAAUAUUUCAAGUACUCAAACAAUCCAUAAGUUCUAAAUUUGCCUACCCAAGCCUACUGCCUACGCUUUUGACAGUCUUGUCAUGAUACCACCGAGUUCGAUAACAUUAACAUUCAUUUCAAAUUCAAUAACAAUCGAAGAAUCAAAACACUACAAUAUUCACUUUAUCACCUUUCAAUUCCCAUCUUUCCCAAGUUAAAAUCUAUCCCCAAAUGAAUUCAAAUCCUUCAAUUACUCUAUUCAAAUGAAAUCAAUCAAUUAACAUCAACCACCAUCCAUAAUCCAAACAUAAUCAAAUCACAUGAAACAAUAUUCACGAGCCAUGAAUUUACCACACCAAAUAUUAAUAACUAAGCUCAAUUGAGCAGGGAUGAGAAAUGGACCUUAAUGACCUUCAAUGUAUUACUCAGUUAAACGAGACAGAAUUCGUGUCCAAAGCCUCGGGUUGAACCUCAAACAAAACUACCAGCUCGACUAUCUACCAAACCCGAAACGCAGAAUAUUCAUGAAAUAUAAUCCGAACAGCAAUCCACGGGCACGAAUAAACUAACCCGAGAAUCACAAAUCACAAGAAAAACUGUAAAACCCGUGUGCCUGUAGCUCCGACGAGCUCGGACGGUAACUAGAAUUGAUGAAACAAGUUAGAAUCCGGCGACCUUAACGUUCUCCGACGGAAUCUCAUCUAAAACCAAGAAAAAUGAAAAGAUUUUGGGGGAUUUUGAGGGCUGGGGGUUGUUUUUUUGCGUCGCCGGAGCUCCGGUGGGCUCAAACAGGCGAGAACCAAUGAGAACGGAUCGGAUUUCGACUUCUCUCAGGCGAAACUCGCCGGAGCAGUACCCCUUUUUCUAUUCUCUCCUUCUCUCUCAGAUCUCUGCUUUCUCUCUACCUCUCUCAAUUGAUCUCUCUUCGUUUCUUUCUAACUCGCGAUUUCCUUUUUCGAUCUCUCUCCCGUCUCCCAUUUCUCCAUUCUACUGUGUGUUGUGUGCUUAUUCAGUGAAGGAGUGUAUUCUUGCUGGAAUGGAAAUUAUCUGCCCCCUUUGGUAUUUUUGAGAAGAUGAGUAUAUGUACUAAAUCAAGAAGAAACAAAUCAAAGGGAAAAGUGGGGUUCCUCCG
This 1410-nucleotide long non-coding RNA is filed under the name Capsicum annuum. RNAcentral describes it as "long non-coding RNA (CANN_LNC018197)". The record is from RNAcentral. Lineage: Eukaryota; Viridiplantae; Streptophyta; Magnoliopsida; Solanales; Solanaceae.